CCCUUAGAUGUUCUGGGCUGCACGCGCGCUACACUGGUGCGUUCAGCGAGUUUAGCACCUUAACAGAUAUGUUUGGGUAAUCUUCUGAAAACGCACCGUGAUGGGGAUCGAUUAUUGUAAUUAUUAAUCGUCAACGAGGAAUUCCUAGUAAGUGUGAAUCAUCAGUUCGCGCUGAUUACGUCCCUGCCCCUUGUACACACCGCCCGUCGCUGCUACCGAUUGAGUGGUCCUGUGAAUUAUUCGGACCGGUGGACUGUGGGGAAACCCGCGGCCUGCUGGGAAGUCUUGUGAACCUUAUCACUUAGAGGAAGCAGAAGUCGUAACA
Molecule: ribosomal RNA, 325 nt
Filed under: uncultured eukaryote
Lineage: Eukaryota
Description: partial 18S ribosomal RNA
Rfam family: Eukaryotic small subunit ribosomal RNA
Source: RNAcentral